Molecule: long non-coding RNA, 1867 nt
Organism: Gymnodraco acuticeps
Lineage: Eukaryota; Metazoa; Chordata; Actinopteri; Perciformes; Bathydraconidae
Exons: 3
Source: RefSeq, a predicted model, not a curated record
GCUGGCUUGAGCGAUCCACUUGAUAACCAGCGUCGUAGUACAGUUUAGCAACAGCGCGUAUGUUUUGGAUUAGGCCAACCGGCUAACUCAAACAUAUCCAGGUUAGGUUGAACCAGCUUCGUAUUAUAGGCCCCUGGACGCUUCAGAGCAUGAACACGCAGACGAAGAGUUGUGAUUGAGACACUAGGGCAGCCAUGACUGUCAGGCACACAAUUAAGCAUCUGGCUUACCAACCCCUGCGCACUAGAAACAAACAUCUGCAGUAGAAAUGGGACAAGGCUUCAUAUGAAUUACACAGGGGAAAGGUGAGGUCAGCCAAACCAACAAUAAACACAACUCCACAAGAGACCUAUCGUCACCUUGUCAACAAACUGAAGACCAAAAAGGUUGCUGUUUUUCCACAUGUUUUAAACUCAACUCACAUGAUGUCCAUAGGCUCAGAACAAAUGUGUUUGUGCUUAAAUCAUCCAAUGAUGAAACUAUAAGAUAUUAAUAGCCCAGUAGAUAUUCUGAUGUUUUAACCUCAAUUUAGAAAAUAAAUGUUUUUAUUUUAACAAUCAUAUAUAAUAUCUCUAAGUUUAAAGAAGAAAGGACAAUGAAGAGGGAAAACAAUAUGCUUGAGGAAACAAUUUCACACAUCUUGACAACUGGAAGAGUUGACAACAGGAAUUAUUAUGAGCAAAAAAGGCAAGUUAAGGUUGGGAAAGAGCUAUCGGUGUAAAAAUACAUAAUGAAGUCAGGCAACAAGUUGUAUUGCCAAGAUAUAAGGUGGCCUCUGUGUGAAACCAAAACCCCAGUUGUAAAGCAUAUGUUCACUCUACAUUGUAGCCUUGGCAAGGAGAAGCGACAGCUGGAGUUGCUCCGCAUUACCAAGGAGAAUCAAAUGAUACUUCUCCAUCUGAGUCAAUGCAAGUCACACUAUAAUGUGAGGAGCUGGCAUGACGACUGCCUCAAAACUCUCAAGGUGAUGGAUAGCAUAGCACGUUACCCACAGGGAAGGACAAAUCAAAAGGUUAGAUCCAACUUACGUUCAUCUAUCAAGCACAGUCUGUCAGUUCUGCACUGCUCCUCUUAAACGUAAUCAUAUGAUCUUUUUGUACAGCAUUAGAAUUGUAUUUUAUGUGCCAACUACCAGGGACAAGAGAAGCGCACUGAUUGUAAUAAAGAACAAAAGAUCAGCGCGGAUGAUUCGACAAACAGCCCUUCAAGCAAAAAGGCCAAGGGCAAAGCAGAAUCUAAGGAAAAGAGAAAAGAAACCAUAGAAAGAAGAAUGACCCUGAGCCAAAUCCACCAAAGGAAUCCACCAGAUACAGCUGAGAAACCUGGUUCCUCUGACACCAUUCAAAUUAAAACAGAUACAUUCCCUCACACUGCUAAAAUUCUGUCUGCCGAUGGAUCUGAAAUGCCCAGCACUCUUCAAACACCUAAAACACUCCAGCAGGAGACUUCAAGUCCUGCAGAGGAAUAAAAUGCCUUCUUCUACAAACUCGUGUUUUUCUGUACAUUCAUUAUUCUCUGUUAAUUCCACUUGAAAUAGUAGGCUAUGAUAUGUAGGUUAUCCCAUCUUAUUGUCAAUGUAUUUUAUUCUAUCUUAAUAGGCCUACAGUAUGUCUUGGGCUCUUAUUGCGAACACUAAUUUUUACUUCCGAGCUGAACCGUUAUAUGGUCCAAUACAUUUGAAUGUACUAUUGACCCUGUGUUAACCUGCGAAUUACUAAUAAAAAGUCUUAUAGUCUUAUCUACAGAGAAACUGGACCUAGAAACUGUAUGACAUUCUUAAAUUGAUCAGUAACACUUUGGUAGAGUGUGGUGAGUGCAAUUUUCACAAAAAUAAUGUCUGUGUUAUGUGUUUCUUUAAUGAAAACAA